ACAUUGUUCGUUAUUAUAUUCCACUCGUAAUUAUUUCUUGAACAAAUAUAUUUUAUCUAAAUUGAUUAAUCUUUAUAGAAAAAUGUUUUUAAAACAAUAAAAAAUAUUCAAAAAGUUUAACGAAAAGAAGGGAUUCUUAAAACUCAAAAAGCAUAAAAGAGAAAGAAUUAUGAAAACUUUGAAGUUUUAGUGUGAGUAUAAAGAUAAACGAAGC
RNAcentral lists this long non-coding RNA (214 nucleotides) under Lathyrus oleraceus (garden pea). RNAcentral's name for it is "Pisum sativum (pea) long non-coding RNA (PSAT_LNC022311)". Lineage: Eukaryota; Viridiplantae; Streptophyta; Magnoliopsida; Fabales; Fabaceae. The record is from RNAcentral.